Molecule: long non-coding RNA, 1639 nt
Organism: Arachis stenosperma
Lineage: Eukaryota; Viridiplantae; Streptophyta; Magnoliopsida; Fabales; Fabaceae
Exons: 8
Source: RefSeq, a predicted model, not a curated record
UUGCCCUUUCCAUUCUCUUUCUUCUGUUUAAAUUUUUCUAAUUUCCAGCUUAGGAAUUCGAUCACCUGUUCUGAGCUUGUUCCACGAUUCUACUCUAUUUGUGAUUUUUUUUGUGUGUAGAUAAAUGCAUUGCUUUCAAUCAUUCAUCUUAGUAUUUUUCGUUCUUAUACAAUGUGCGAAACACUUGGAUUUCAAUUUUAUAUAUAUAGCUUGAUGAGGCUUUCUGAAACUUUUUCAGUUUCACCAUUGUAACACUGGUUUAAUCUAUUUCCUCUCAUAUUGUAUGCAUGUUUGUUUAUUCUGUUUGGUUAAUUAUUUUUGGAACCCUAGAAUUGCACAUUCUUCAUUAAUCAGUGUUCUAGCAAUACAGUGAAAUUCAUUGAACUCUUAUAAAUAUAGAAUUGAAUUGAACUUCUAGAUUGUGGCUUCUCUUAAUCACUUAUUGCAGCAAAUAGAUUUAUCUAUGCAGAAAUUGUAUUAUUAGGAUUAUUUAUUGCAGUAUUAUUCUCUCUUCUGUGAUUUGGAAGUUGUAGAAGUAGUUAGGUGAUAUGUUAAGAUAGAAUAUUGGAAGGUUCCUUUUUUUUCUCCUUCUGUUUUAUGACCUUCUUUUCAGCUUAAAUAUUAAUAGAAAAUAAAAUUAACUUUGUUUAUGACCUACUUGGCUGAGGAGUGAGGAGCAGAUACUCCGGGAUGAUAUCAAGUUUGGUGGAAAAGCCCAAACAGCUUUUCAUGAAAGAUAUCAGGAUGCUGCCCAAGUAUAAUGUCACUACCACGUUAAGGUCUCAGGACAAACCUCUGGCUGCAUGGUUAUUUACACAGGUUGUAGAGGUAGUGCAAGCUGUAAGAUGACCAAUGCUAGGGGGAAGUUAAAUACCCAAUCAAGAGUUGCUGCGACUGAAACUUGCUCUGUCCUUUCUUCACGUUGAGUUGCUGCGAUUGAAAUUACUCCUCAAGCUAGCUGCGCCCUUCAUCAUCGGGAAGCGUGUUGGUAGAACCUUUUUCUGACAAGGCUCCUUCUUCCAAUUUCUUCAUUUUAAGGGAUCUCCUGGAAUUUCAAUAUCAAUUAUCAUUAUUUACAUCAAUGCUCUUGACACCUUCAACACUGCAGUAGUUUCUCCUAUAUACUAUGUCAUGUUCACAACACUUACAAUCCUAGCUAGUGUGAUAAUGUUCAAGUUGAGAAAUGAAGUUAAUAAACUGGAGGAAAGGCUUGGAGUUACUGAUGAUCAUCUCAAACAAAAGAAUCUGAAAAUCAAGAAACUGACAGAUGAAAAGAAAUGUGCAUUGGCUACACAAUAUGCGACAGAAGCAGCUCUUAGAAGGGUACAUGCAAAUCAAAAGGAUGAUGAUAUUCUCCCAAAUGACAGCAUCAUUACUCCAUUUGAAGCUGAGAAAAUAUACAAGAAUGAGUUACAAAUAAUGUAACUCCCAGCAAGGAUGCAUUUGUCAAAUAAUUAAUUAAUUUAAUGUAACUUCUUCUUCCUCUUUAUAUGAUGCUAUAAGAACAAUAUACUGAGUAUAUGUUUUGAAUUAUAGUUGAUGUAUCAACACAUUUUGUUGAUGUAUAGUUAUUUAUUAUUAUAGUUGAUGUAUCAAUACAUUUUGUUUAUUUUUUGAAUUAUAUUGGCUUCCUUGAUUA